Molecule: unclassified non-coding RNA, 480 nt
Filed under: Hevea brasiliensis (rubber tree)
Lineage: Eukaryota; Viridiplantae; Streptophyta; Magnoliopsida; Malpighiales; Euphorbiaceae
Source: RNAcentral
AAAAAAAAAUUGUGUAGCUUUUCAAUUAAAAAGAGUUAUACAAAAGAAAGAAAGAAGGUAAAUGAGGUGGGUUUGAAGCUUUGGAUAUCCUGAUAGGAAAAAAGUAGUGAAGCUGCGAGGGAAGUCAUAGGCUGUUUCUGAAAAAUCUGCAACCUGAAAGGAGGUGGGCUUGAAGAUCAAAUUCUCCUAAGAAUGCAUGGCAGGGUUAAAAAGUCACAGGUUGGUUUCCUAAAAAAUCUCCAACCAGUGAAAGAAUCUGAGUGGGUGGACCAAAAACCAACUGUAAAAUAGCAAACAUAGAGAAAGAUCAAGAAAGAGACAGAGACCACCAUGCUAUAUAUUCCACAGCUGGAGAUGGACCUAUCAGUCUUGAUCCUUCCAAAAGAAUGGCUUCAGUGGAAAAGAAGAGGAGGAAGAAGAAGAAGCUGAGCCCAUGUUGUCCUGUUGUCUCUGCACGGCAGAAGAAUCAUUGAACUGUUG